AGAUAAAGAUGAGAGUAUGGAGUAUUUGAGUAUGCACCUGCCGGAGCUUAAGUUCGGUCGGAAGGAUGUAAAUGUUCAGGCGUACGAGCAGGCGCUUACCAGCUGGACGGAUGAUGUUCCCACGUGCAGGGAGAGUGGUGUUGGCUCAGCUAUAAACGAGCUAUACCGGAGGGAUGGAAGUAGAAUUCAAAUUCAUUCUUUUCAAGACAGAUCAUUUCGGUUUCGAGUAGAAGACUACGACCUCUGUGUUUACGGAGUAUUCGAUGGGUUCGGCGGAGCUCAGGUUGCAGAUUUUGUGACGAAGCGGAUACCGGCGGAACUGCUCUGGGGUCAACUCGUCCCGGAAAAGUCAGAUGAGGCUGUGAAAGAAACCCUACGUCAAGCUUUCAUUAGUGUUGAUAAAGAAUAUUUCGAAUCAAUAGGAGACAGAUUAGCUGCUAGAAUGGUAAUGCAGUGUGAUCCUCAGUAUUCCUCUAGCUCCCAGCUGGAGGAGCUGGAGGACCGGGUUCGGGCAGGCUCUGCUGGUGUACUGGCGGUUGUACUAGGAAACCGGUUAUUUGUCGCGAGUAUAGGAGACUGCAGAGCCCUUUUAUACAGAAGCGGCGAGAUUCUUCCCUUGUCCAUUGAUCAUACAAUAUAUAACGAAGACGAGCUUCUCCGUUUAUCUCAUCUUGGUGUCGAUCUCAAACUAGGAGUUUCCUACCCAGAGCUAGGAGAGAGAUCUUACACAAGGUGUUUGGGAAACUAUCCUGUGAAAGGUGGGUACAAGGAGUCAACCCUCCUUGCCUCCUGUCAAGACGAACCUGUGAUACCUGAACCUGAAGUUCUUGGAGGAAUUCCUAUCCAGGACUUCUCCUUCCUCCUCCUCUAUACGAAGUCUCUGUGGCACGCCGUGGCUGAAGCAACUGGAUGUCAAGAUCCGGAUUCAGAGAUUGCCGAACUUUGUAGAUAUUACUUCAGAGAAGAAUCAAGUUUAUCCGGAGUAGCCCAAGCAGUAGUUGACCAGGUUGUCCGGUUACAUCAUGACCGCCUGGAGGCUAGUGGAGGUAGAGCAGAUACAAGAGAGGACAUCACCCUUCUUAUCAGAGAGUUUGGAGGAUGCCGAGAACCUCGUGGGAAUACUCCGGGUAGAGGGUUGUCCAGAGGGUUGAUGGAUAAGAAGGAGGAGAAAACGUUAACCCGGAGUAGUGCAAGACCAUCCCGACCUACAAGAUCCAGUACAACUACUGAGAGUAGUGGAGUAUAUCUGGCAGGGAAAGAGAUACCUAUAGAUGAACACGGACGGAUACAACCCUACGUUGACUUUGCUCCGUUCUAUCAACUGUGGAACCAACGGAAGUUCUCUCAAGGUUCUUCGGAUAAGUGAGAAGACUGAUGGCAGAAACAGAAUGCAAGAAGACUAAUUAUUAUGUCAAACCAAAAGUAUUUUUUGCGUCCCAAAAUAGUAAUAAUCGAACAUUCCCUUCAUUCCGAAGCUGCUUAAAUAUUAACCGCCCCCCCCCCCCAACAAAAAAAAAACUCUUUCAGAAAAUGCGCAAAGUCAUAUCCCAGUUCAGGGAACUCGGAACUAUACUCUGAAAGAGCUUAUAAUUGACAAAGUCUUUCUGAAUUGUGCGUAUCUCGUGCAUGAGAUUUUUAUUUUACGAAAACUGUCACAAAUAAUUAGGCACGGGUUCAAAUGAAGUUUCAUCCUUAAGUACAAGAAUAUAUGUAUUGUAUAACAUUUAUGUAUUAUAUGUAAUGUAUCCAAUAACUAGUCGAGUUGCUAUUAUUAUAAUAAAUGAAGUAAUUCUCUCGUUU
RNAcentral lists this unclassified non-coding RNA (1800 nucleotides) under Eurytemora carolleeae. Its description in RNAcentral is "tGF-beta-activated kinase 1 and MAP3K7-binding protein 1". The record is from RNAcentral. Lineage: Eukaryota; Metazoa; Arthropoda; Copepoda; Calanoida; Temoridae.